CGUCCAUGGCGAUGACCCCCUCGAUGGUCUGGAAGGAGGAGCAGGCCAAAGUGCAUAGGCUCCAGUCCAGGAAACUCGCCAUCUUCUUCUGCUUAACGUCGGGCCGCGUGACAAACCUGCCAAAAGGGGACAGACACGAGCCUCCUGUCCUGACCAGGAGCCCCCACAGGCCCCUCUUCCCUCAAAACAGCCACCGCCGCCCCACGCGAGAUGCUCAGCCAGCGCAGGGAUUACACUGCGGCCAUGUAGAAGGUCUCCGUGUCAGUAAAACAAAGCUGCCACGACUGUCUUCGCCCACCUCCAUCAGGGUACACACCCAGAGACUUGGUCACCAAGGAUUUACCAAACUUUAGGAUGCUGGUUACAAAGGCGAACUCACAUGCCACCCCCGCCAGCCAAGAAGUUGCGUUACGGCGGGUCUGAGAAGAGGGCCCAGGAAUUUCAUAAAAUCUGCACCUCAGAGUGAUCAUCUAAAAUGGAUAACUGGUAUUAUACACCCUAUCUCAAUGUCCUUGGCCCUGUUCAAAGCUCCUUGAUUCUGGAGGGGGCCACAGGAUGAGGGUCACACCUACAGUGACCUGAUCCUCAGCCUGAAGACAACAGCCGGCCGGCACUCACCCUGCAUGUGGGCAGGCACAGCGCCUGCAGUGGGGUGGCCCUCAGGACAGGCGAGGUCACAGGCACAGAACGGCCCACAGGGCCGGUAAGCGGCCCUGCUGGGACCCAAAGCCCAACUUGGAGACGUGAGUCACAGCGCCAUCCACUCAGGGGCCACGCACCCUGCUUCCUCCACCCACUCAUCUGCUGAGCAGGCAGGAGGCUGAUGUUCUGUGUGCAGCCUGUAGCGGCCAACUUCCUUUCCUGGGCAAAAUCACACAAGGUGAGUUUCCAAAUUACAGUAAAAACCUAAGGUUCCUUUGAAAGAUUUAAGCAAAUAGGUUAUUUUAUAUUUUUUAUUUUUCUCUCUAAAAAAAGGAAUGUUAUGUUCGCAGCAGAGGUCCAAAAGUACAGAUAAGCAAAAAUGGAAAAUACCUAUCCCACAAGUGUAACACACAGAACGAGACCCUUCUACACAAACUGAAAGAUCUCUGAAUCCUACACUUCCUUCCCUUUUAGGAAAAGUUACAU
Long non-coding RNA from Orcinus orca (killer whale), 1128 nucleotides. RefSeq lists it as uncharacterized. The transcript has 2 exons. Lineage: Eukaryota; Metazoa; Chordata; Mammalia; Artiodactyla; Delphinidae. The record is from RefSeq and is a predicted model, not a curated record.